UUCGACGAAUUGGACCAUGUUGUUCGACCGGGUGGUGCUGGAUUGGAUCAGCAACUGGGAUCGCAAAUAGGAGGGUGAGUUCACCCAACUCAGAUUCCACUUCAGCCAACUCGACCUCACUAAGAAGUACUACAUGAGGCUGUGCCAAGAGAGCGGGAUCCUUUAACUGCAGCAGCAAGCAGCGUGUCAAGAAUACAGUCAUUGUUGAGACGAAAUCCCCCGAAGCAGAUUGUGAUCUCCCCAUUACUGAAAAGGCGGCUACUGUCACCGAGGGUGGGCCACUAUGGAGCAAAGCACUUGAGGUCCCCUCCUGCAAUCAGUGAGGGAUCAGUACCACUCGAUGAUGCAGAAAUAUUGACUAUUGGUGUUCUUCAGCAAUCAGAUGCACCUAGAUCAAUUAGAAAGCGCAAACUUAGAUCUUCUGUUUGGAAAGAGUUUGAGCCAAUUUAUCAAGGAAACUUAAUUGUGCAAGCUAAAUGCAUUCACUGCUUGGAUAUAUUUGCUGCUAAUAGAGAGAAUGGUAGAAGCGCUUGU
This is a long non-coding RNA of Panicum virgatum (switchgrass), 534 nucleotides long. RefSeq lists it as uncharacterized. The transcript has 3 exons. NCBI's taxonomy places the organism in Eukaryota, Viridiplantae, Streptophyta, Magnoliopsida, Poales, Poaceae. The record is from RefSeq and is a predicted model, not a curated record.